This 498-nucleotide ribosomal RNA is filed under the name uncultured bacterium. RNAcentral's name for it is "partial 16S ribosomal RNA". It matches the Rfam family "Bacterial small subunit ribosomal RNA", at positions 28 to 508 of the family's 1533-position model. The record is from RNAcentral.
GAUGAACGCUGGCGGCGUGCCUAAUACAUGCAAGUCGAGCGAACAGACGAGGAGCUUGCUCCUCUGACGUUAGCGGCGGACGGGUGAGUAACACGUGGAUAACCUACCUAUAAGACUGGGAUAACUUCGGGAAACCGGAGCUAAUACCGGAUAAUAUAUUGAACCGCAUGGUUCAAUAGUGAAAGACGGUUUUGCUGUCACUUAUAGAUGGAUCCGCGCCGCAUUAGCUAGUUGGUAAGGUAACGGCUUACCAAGGCAACGAUGCGUAGCCGACCUGAGAGGGUGAUCGGCCACACUGGAACGGAGACACGGUCCAGACUCCUACGGGAGGCAGCAGUAGGGAAUCUUCCGCAAUGGGCGAAAGCCUGACGGAGCAACGCCGCGUGAGUGAUGAAGGGCUUCGGAUCGUAAAACUCUGUUAUUAGGGAAGAACAAAUGUGUAAGUAACUAUGCACGUCUUGACGGUACCUAAUCAGAAAGCCACGGCUAACUACGUGC